This 2331-nucleotide long non-coding RNA is filed under the name Homo sapiens (human). Its description in RNAcentral is "HSALNT0293312". Lineage: Eukaryota; Metazoa; Chordata; Mammalia; Primates; Hominidae. The record is from RNAcentral.
GUGCCACCUUAAGAGCUGUAACACUCACUGCGAGGGUCCGCAGCUUCAUUCUUGAAGUCAGUGAGACCAAGUUCCGGACACAUUCUCAGGGCCAAAAUGGCUGACUAGAAGCAGCUACAGUGUGUAGCUCUCAGGGAGAGGAAGGAAAGGGAAGAGUAAAUACAGCACCUUCAACUGAAAUAUCCAGGUAUUCACAUUGGGACUGACCAGGGAAACAGCUGGACCCACAGAGAACGAAGAAAAGCAGGGCAGGGUGAUGGCCUGCACGAGAGUGACACGGAGCCAAGGGAACCUCCCCCUCCCAGGGAAGUGGGCAUGAAAGGUUCAAAUAGAAAAGCAGCAUGGUGAUGGGGCUGACUGUUCCAGAAUUGAUGUGCCCGUGCUCCGUGAGGAACGCAGCUCAUCUGUACCAGCAAAUGUGUUGGCUCCUGCCUGCAAUUGUAUCAUUCAGGUGUGCAUUGUAAAAACAAUUCACGGAUAAGCACAGUUGCUCUGGCAAGAACUUCCAGUACAGCGUUGAUGAGCAGUGGUAAAAGGAUUUCACUGUUUUCUGCUAUCUGGAUUUUCCCAAAGAUCCGCUAAAUCCUAAACUUCAUCUUGGUCUGAAGAAGGGCAAGUCCUCUCUCCAGCUCUUCAUUUGCUGACUCUCACUGAUGCAAGAAGAAUGAAGUCUCUUACCUGCCUUCUCCUAGGACAUCCUGGGAGAAACUGUGACUGCUGGUGUGUUCUCAAAACUCACCAACAUGAUUCUCCUUGUGGCUAUAUGACUCUAGAAAGGGAAUUUAAAUAAAAUGAUAACAAUUAACAGAUACUUUUAUGUAAACAACCGGUAGUGACCACUAUACUAGUUGGUUUGUAUUUACCAAAUUCCAUGUCUGAGGCCAAGAAUUUAUCUCUAAAUCCUCUGGGAUAAAAAUCCAGCAUCUCAUCUUUUUUUCUGCCAGCUGUAAAAACAUUGCAGGAAGGUACUGAGUACUUUUUGUUGUUGUUUUCUCCUUUCUUUGAAUCUUUGGCUUUGACAAGCAUGGAAUGAAAAUCAUAUAGAGCAUGGAGCUUAUAGCAAAGGAGAAUGUAGAGGCAAAGAGAAUAAAAAUGCUGGGAUAAUUUCUUGAAAAAUUACUUAGAGGAAGAUGUCUUAUUUUUGUGUCAUAUAACCUCUCACAUGGUUCUUGAAUGUUGCUAACUAUGGCUAGCAGUGCGAUUUCCAACAAGUAAACUGUAAUCUAGCCAAUGCUGUGAGAGUUGUACAUGUCAACCAAGGGUCAAAUAUGGCUAUACCUGUCAAGAGUUGCAAAGUAAAUGUAGAAUCUUACUUUCCCGAGGUACAUAUAAUUUAAGUUUCUUGUUCUGUUCUUUACUGUGGCAUUAUUAAAACUUAAACCCACGCCAUUUUCCUACUGAGUCACUUUCAAUGCAUAAGAAUAUGCUUUCAAGCUAUAACUGCAUCAAUACCUGUGAUUGUACUUUCUAUUGAGAAUACAAAUGCUUUUUCCCCCCUUCAGAGCUGUCAAAGCUUCUGAUGCUGAAGAGUUGAUCUUGGAAAAUGCAGGUUCAGUCCUGCUACCAGCAGAAAGUGAAGAAAGUCCUUAAUUUCACAAUCGAUGUCAUCCUAACGAUGCCAGUAUAAUAAUGGUGCAGAAAACAUACUUCAUUGAUUUUAUCUUUUUCUAUUUGGGAAGGCAAAAUUAAUCAUUCAUCUGAUCUGUGAUGUGACAAGUUAGAUAUCAUAUUCUGUUAAAAUCAGUUAGUUGUCGAUCAAAAUCAACAGUGCUUUUUCUUCAGAUUGAUUGGCACUAAAUUCUUCAUAGCUUAAGAAAUUUGACAUUUUAUAUAAGAACUCAAACAGCAUGGAGCCACAAUUUUAUUGUCGAUUAUAACAUGCCUGUAAUUGACAAGUAAGUAAGUAAACACCUGUUUGGUGUGAUCCAUUCAUCUUAAUUCCAUUGUGGUCCCAUGCUUUUGCUUUAAUUUUAUGCUUGCUAUAUUUGGACCUGAAAUAACUCCCCACAAGCCUUUCUGUAAGCAAUAUUAAAAACAAACUUCUUUGGUUAACUUUCUGUAUUUCUCAGUCAGAUGCUAGGAUCAGAUGCACAGCCACAAACUUAGUUUCUCACACUAUACAUGUAAUAUAUUAAUUACAUAAUUUACCCUAUGUAUAUUUGGUUGCUACCAAAUGUUGAUGAAUCUUUGUUAGUGGAUUGUGUGCUUUUUCCAUAUGUAAUGAGAGUUUGCGACACUGCUUCUGCUUGGAAAGUAUGCUAUAGUUAAUGCAUUUAUUUUAUUAAACACCAACAGAACUACAUCUAGUUAUUUCUAAUCACUUGGUAGCUA